Misgurnus anguillicaudatus (oriental weatherfish) is the source of this 2127-nucleotide non-coding RNA. Lineage: Eukaryota; Metazoa; Chordata; Actinopteri; Cypriniformes; Cobitidae. The record is from RefSeq and is a predicted model, not a curated record.
AUGGGGUAUAACAAAAUAACUUAAUAUUAACUUAUUAAUUUGGCAUUGCUGGCCUUUGUCAAUUUGGUUUGUCUUUUUUCACUUGCCAAGAAGUUUAUUCUUCCUACAAUGAAUGUCUUUGAUGACAUAAAGACAGAGGUUGAUGAGGAAUAAUAUCUGCUGACACGACCAGACUUUGGUGUCCUAGAAAUCUUCAUCCCAGAAAGCACAAGCAGCAUUGAUGGGCACGUCAGACUCUGAUGGGACCGCAGUGUUGAUUAGAAAUCCUCCUGAAAAAAAUCUAGCCAAGAAACGUCAUCUAGUCCAGAUCGAAAAUAUCCUAAACAGCAUCCCUGGAGGCGAUAAGGUCAUAAAGGAAUACGCUCGCACAAAGUCUUUCAGAUGGCAAAAGACGUGACAUGGUGAAAAUCUUGGAAGCACAUUUAACAAAGGAACAUGGAUCUUCCCCUUACCGAAGUUUGAAGGAAGAAUAUGCAAAGGGUAUUAUCUCCAUAUUCCCAUGCUUUGCUGACCCCAGGAGCAAGCUUGGUUAUGAGCAUUAUUACAAUGCAGAAGAUGGAAGUGGAUAUUUGGCGUGGAGAAUUAAAACUCAAGCAUCAGAGGGACAGAUAAAAUGCCCACGGCAACCACAAACAGGUGCAUGACUUGCAGAUUGAUUUGCAGAUUUUGGACUUCUAUUUGGUGAGGCGACCACUGCAAACUCAAACAGACUUGUAAGGUCCAAGACCUCAUCCAAAAUGCUGAAGUUGAAGAUGGUAACUAUUGUGCUAUACAAGUUAUGAAUUCAUGAAGAAUGGCUUUAGAACCAUAGUUUCAAUUGUAUUAUUUAUUGUAUUAUAUUUACAACAUAUAAUCCAUGCUUUUGUUAUUUAGAGUCCCAAAUGAAAACUAUUUUAAACUGUAAAUCUACAACUCGCAUACUAGGCCCUUGUGAAAACCCAUCUGAAAGCGCUCUAUUUUUACACACUAAUUUUGUACUUUAUAUACAAAAAAUUCUUCUUUUGUACUUCUUGAGAUAAUCUUAAGAACAUCUAAGUAUACUUGUCUGUACUAUUUUGAGACACCAUGAAUAUGAACUGAAAUAUGCUUAAAAUAUAUUUAAAAAAAUGUAUUUAGGUACCGCUUGUAGUAAACUUAAACCCAUCUUUCAUACAAACAAGUGGUAAAUAAAUAAUUUUUUAAAAUAUAUUUUAAGCACAUUUUAGUUUAUAUUCAUGGCGUCUCAAUAUAGCACAAUAAUUUUUAAGUUUAUUAAGUACAAAAUUAAUGUGCGAAAAGAGAGCAGUACAUUAUUGAAGUGUACUUCUUUUUCAGCUGGGUUUUCACAAGGGCCUAGUACGUGAGUUGCAGAUUUACACUUUUAAAUUGUUUUAAUUUGGGACUCUAAUAACAAACGCAUGGUUUACAUAUUGUAAAUAACGUUUAAAGGGGACAUAUGAAAAUCUGACUUUUUCCUUGUUUAAGUGCCAUAAUUGGGUCCCCAGUGCUUCUAUCAACAGAGAAAAUGUGAAAAAGAUUAACCCAGUAACUUAGUUUUGAUAAACCAUUCUCUGCAAGUAUGUGAAAAUUUAAAUGUGGCUCCCCUUGUGAUGUAAGAAGGGGAUCUUACUAUAAUUAUACUACCUCUUAAUCUGCACUAUUCAACCACUGCCAUUUAGUGCAGCUCAUUUGCAUUUAAAAGGAUACACCCAAAAUCAACACAUAUUUGCUCACACCUACAAAGUGUCAAUUUUAACAUGUUAUAAUAAAUUGUCUAUAUGGUAUUUUGAGCUAAAACUUCACAUACAUACUCUGGGACAGCAAAUAUUUAUUUCACAUCUUAAAGUCUUGUGAAAUGUCUCCUUUAACUGUAUUUCCUAAUUUCAGUAUUUGUAGUAGUUUGUCUCUGCUUUGUUUAUUGUACCAUAUUAUUUCAUGUAAUUCUUUAUCUCCUCUGUUGUAUUAUCACUAUUUAUAUUAUUUUAGUGUUGUUGUCAUGAAUUGUAAAAAUGCUGUUUAAAAGAUGAGCUUGACAAAUAAAAUGUAUAAUAGAUGCUGUUAUAGCAAGAGAAUAAAAUUUUACUGAAAUUACAGUUUUGUUUCAGACUGAUGUUUUUCAUUUUCGAGCUGUUUGAUGGUGAAAUGUGA